RNAcentral lists this transfer RNA (65 nucleotides) under Monomachus antipodalis. Its description in RNAcentral is "tRNA-Trp". Lineage: Eukaryota; Metazoa; Arthropoda; Insecta; Hymenoptera; Monomachidae. The record is from RNAcentral.
AAAAUUUUAAGUUAAAAUUAAAAACUAUUAAUUUUCAAAGUUAAAAAUAUAUUAAAUAAAUUUUA